GAAGUAAAUUUCUGAUUAACCUGGAUGCAUUGUAGUAGUGUAGUAUCAUACCAAUGCUGUAAGGCUGUACAAAAAUUAUUGCAAUAGGAAAUGUAUGUGUUUAUAAUAAAAAUCAUUCUUUAACAUAUGACAUUUGUCAUAUCUAAACUUAACUUUGAAUUUUUACAACAAUGUUAAUGGAGAUAAUCUAAUUUCUACAAUCUUACAAAUACGAGAUAUAUGAAGAACAUGGAA
Non-coding RNA from Nylanderia fulva, 234 nucleotides. The record is from RefSeq and is a predicted model, not a curated record. NCBI's taxonomy places the organism in Eukaryota, Metazoa, Arthropoda, Insecta, Hymenoptera, Formicidae.